This is a long non-coding RNA of Felis catus (domestic cat), 3153 nucleotides long. RefSeq lists it as uncharacterized. NCBI's taxonomy places the organism in Eukaryota, Metazoa, Chordata, Mammalia, Carnivora, Felidae. The transcript has 11 exons. The record is from RefSeq and is a predicted model, not a curated record.
ACUGUCAGUGCAGAGCCGCACGUGGGGCUUGAACUCAAGAGACUGUGAGAUCAUGACCUGAAGCGAAACCAAGAGGCCGACGCUUAACUGUCUGAGACAUCCAGGCGCCCCUGGAAUCUGUAUCUUCAUAAACAGUCCAGGUUAUUCUGUUGGUCUGCAGCCCGUACUUCGAGAACACUGCUGUAGGCAAUGGAAGCCGUCGAAAAGAUUAUUUGCAGAUUUCAGUUACCACCAUCACGCAGUCCUGACACAGAUGAUCUCUCCUGACUUGGGUCGGGGGGCGGUAGUAGCCUAAUGCUACGUCACAUCUACGUUAUUCACGUCCCACCAUCUCCUCACACAGGCAAAUUUUAUCAUCUCACAUGGUCCCAAGAAGAAAGUUUGAAUGAUUCCAGGAAGUAACUAGCAGCACGUUGAACAUGUUCACAGUGGAGUGGAGAGAUAUGGAAGCCAAACAACUGAGGAUAAUCAAUGAAUGAAAAGAAAAAAAUAAUGUUUUCUCCAAUACACUAAAUGAAAAAAAUGAUUGAAGGGGAUCUCUUCUGAAAACUCUAGAACUGGAAAAUAUUUAGAAACCAGAAUGAGUGAAACUUCAAAAAUAUUUCUCACCACAACUGACAUGUCAAGUGAUCGUGGCCAGAUGAUCAUCAACAAGGGCAUUUUCUAAGAGGCUUUGAGAAAGAGGACUGCAGAAUAAAUAUCCCAGAAAGACAAUAAUGUAGCAGCUUAGAUAAAAUGCUACAGAAAUAAAGAAAACAUUCUACAAGUAAGCACUAUGAAUUGAUGGAAAUCUUUUGAGUAUUGGUGUUCUCCUCAGAGAGAAUAAACUGGUCUUUGUUGCUGAAAUGUUAACCCAUACAUAUUUAAGUUUAUGUCUUCAAAGAAGGAGAACUGGGAGGACAGAGCAACCACAGUAAAAGGCUUCCAAGCCUUCUGGUGAUGUAUUAUUAAUUUGCCGCAUUUGCCAGGCCAACUCCAUGUCUGUAAUUCAACAGCCCCCUUCAUUGUAUCAGUGAUGAUUCCACAGCAUCCACACACCAGCAGAGAAUGAAAAGCAUUACAAUCCAUGAAGAAUAUUUCUACACUAGAGAUAAAAAUAAAACAAGGAGUUAAAAUGUAAAAACUCAAUGGAAAAGCUACUUGAAAGAGGUGAUUAAUUUGGCUAUCAACAGUGAUCAUCCUUUCCUCCAAGUUAAUUUUAAUAACAGCCAUCCUAACAGAAUGAAGAAGAAAAGAAGAAUGUUUGCAAAUAACACUACAAAAAUUUGUCACUAGCCCAUCUGCAUUACAAGAAGUGCUAAAGGAACUUGUUCAGUAUGAAGAAAAUGAUACCCAAUGAAAGCUUGUAUGUUCAGGAUGGAAACAAGAGAAUAAAAAAUGAAUCUAGGGAAAGAAAAGGGCAACUAGCAUGCCUGCUCCCUAUGUAUGAGGAUAUAGAGAAGAACUCAUGGAAACUGGAAAAACUGAUGCUUGGAGAUACAUCAGACAUCUGGACUGGAGCAUUCAAUGAACCUUGUUCCAAAGACACGACUGCAUGGGUCUUUCCUGUAUAGAGUUCCAGAACAUAUUAAAAUAGAGACAAAAGGGAAAUAAGGAAAAUACGUUUAAAAUUUGACAAAUUGUCAGCAUUAUCAAGAACAAUUUCAAGGUCUUUCUAUGUAGACAAACUAUCACUGCUACUCUGUUCACAUGGUGAUAACGAUGCCAUAAUUCCAGAGGUUUUACUUCUUCAUUCAAGAGAUCAGCCUAUGUAAGGAUGAAAGUCUUGAAACUAACUCUAGAUUUCUAAGAGAGGAAUUUGAUUAGCCAUAUUUAAGUCAGGGACUCCCCGUGGUCCAAGCAUCCACCAACAGGAGCAUGGAGUUACGCUGUUCAAAUACGGUUGCCAUCUCCUGUACCUAUGACUCUGGGGAUGGGGACUGGGAAUGGCAGGAGUUCCUAGAUAAGACAGGUUAAUUCUGAAUUCACUUUUUCUUUCAAUAAUUAUGUUGGGACUUUCUAUAUGUUCAGAACUGGGGAUAUGAUUCUGAAAAGGAUACUUCUUACCCUCACAAACAUUUCUAUCUAGUUAGGUGUAUUGGGACAGGGAGGUGGCUGGUGAGGAUUGGGUUCUAUGUAAAUUGUCUUUGUAAUAAAUGCAACAAGUGAUAUUAUGGAGGCAAAAAAAAAGGUGUUAUGGUAGUAAAGGAGAAGACAUAUCUCACUCAGGCUGGGAGGUGAGUGAUGUCUUCUUGUGAAAAAUGACAUCUAUACUAAGACUACAGACAUGCAUAAGCGUUAGCCUGGUCAAAUAGAUGGAAGUGAAAUAUAAUAGAAAUGACUCUUAUGUUUAUAUAGACACAAAGAUAAUGUUGACGGAUCUAAAACAAAGUAAUAUUAGAAUAUUGAUGGGUAUCUCAGCUUGGGUUUCCCAAAUAUCAGAUCCCGAGAUAAGACAAAAUUAGUCCUCUGUGCUGGCAGCGUUCUUAACAGGUUCUUCCAACAAGGAUGUCCAACAGCCGAUUUGCAUAACAGAUUUGCAUUCUUCCAGUGUAGCCCAGCGGGAAAAUAGCACUUUUUCCUCAGUGGUUUCCCUGGAACAGUACAACGUUCCAGGGCUGACUCUAAUGAGAAUGCUUUGGGCCAUUGAGCCAAUCACCAUAGACAAACACCCAGAAUAUUCUGGUCAGGGAUUGGGGAAGGCCCCGUUUGUAUCACAUGACCAAAUAGUGGGUAAGGAGGAGCAAUUCUUGAAAAGAUAUCACGGAACUAUUACCUGAAAAGAGAAUGAAUGCUAGGCAGGCAAAAUCCACAGAUGUCUGCUAAAAUUUGGGAUGACAUUCCUUUAAUAUUUAUUUUAUAUGUGGAGGUGUGAUGUAUUAUAUGGACUUAGCAACAAAGCACUUUUUUUGCUUAAUAGAGUUGAUCCUAUAACUCUCUUCUCUCAGAGUAGUAACUUGUGCAUAAAGGAUUAUGGUAAAGAGUAAAAACACACGUUGGUUUUUAGUAUACCAUAAAAAUUCACACAGAAAGAGAAUAGUGAUUCUUAACUCAUAAUGGUUCACAGAUGUUUUUUUCACAGAAAUUUUUGAGAAUCCGAUGAAUUCAACAGACUUGCUCCAUAGAACAUUUUUUUUUUUUUUUUGGUUUUUGGUACAUACAAACUUCUUUUGA